AUGAAAUUGCCGCCGGGUAAACGUCUUUUGUUCAUUCCAUUAGGCCCUUGAAGGAAUGAAGAUCAGGCGUUUUAUUGU
This 78-nucleotide non-coding RNA is filed under the name unclassified sequences. The record is from RNAcentral.